AACGAACGCUGGCGGCAUGCCUAACACAUGCAAGUCGAACGAGACCUUCGGGUCUAGUGGCGCACGGGUGCGUAAUGCGUGGGAAUCUGCCCUUCGGUUCGGAAUAACUCAGGGAAACUUGAGCUAAUACCGGAUAAUGACGUAAGUCCAAAGAUUUAUCGCCGAAGGAUGAGCCCGCGUAGGAUUAGCUUGUUGGUGGGGUAAUGGCCCACCAAGGCGACGAUCCUUAGCUGGUCUGAGAGGAUGAUCAGCCACACUGGGACUGAGACACGGCCCAGACUCCUACGGGAGGCAGCAGUGGGGAAUAUUGGACAAUGGGCGAAAGCCUGAUCCAGCAAUGCCGCGUGAGUGAUGAAGGCCUUAGGGUUGUAAAGCUCUUUUACCCGGGAUGAUAAUGACAGUACCGGGAGAAUAAGCUCCGGCUAACUCCGUG
Molecule: ribosomal RNA, 433 nt
Filed under: uncultured bacterium
Lineage: Bacteria
Description: bacterial SSU rRNA
Rfam family: Bacterial small subunit ribosomal RNA
Source: RNAcentral